Molecule: unclassified non-coding RNA, 200 nt
Filed under: Inocybe sp.
Lineage: Eukaryota; Fungi; Basidiomycota; Agaricomycetes; Agaricales; Inocybaceae
Description: partial internal transcribed spacer 2
Source: RNAcentral
UUAAGUUCAGCGGGUAGUCCUACCUGAUUUGAGGUCAAAUUUGUCAAUUUUUUGGUUGUUAUAAGCAGUGCUGACCAGCAAUUACCAAAGGCAUAGAUAAAUUAUCACACCAAUAGCAGCUCAGAUUACCACUAAUGCAUUUCAGGGGAGCCAGCUUUUCAUUAGAAAGCCUGCAAACCCCCACAUCCAAGCGCACAUCA